This 608-nucleotide ribosomal RNA is filed under the name uncultured bacterium. Its description in RNAcentral is "bacterial SSU rRNA". It matches the Rfam family "Bacterial small subunit ribosomal RNA", at positions 338 to 944 of the family's 1533-position model. The record is from RNAcentral.
CCUACGGGAGGCAGCAGUAAGGAAUAUUGGUCAAUGGACGAAAGUCUGAACCAGCCAUGCCGCGUGAAGGAUGAAGGUCCUCUGGAUUGUAAACUUCUUUUAUCUGGGACGAAAAAAGGGCUUUCUAGCUCACUUGACGGUACCAGAGGAAUAAGCACCGGCUAACUCCGUGCCAGCAGCCGCGGUAAUACGGAGGGUGCAAGCGUUAUCCGGAUUUACUGGGUUUAAAGGGAGCGUAGGUGGGCAGGUAAGUCAGUGGUGAAAUCUCUGGGCUUAACCCGGAAACUGCCAUUGAUACUAUCUGUCUUGAAUAUCCUGGAGGUAAGCGGAAUAUGUCAUGUAGCGGUGAAAUGCUUAGAUAUGACAUAGAACACCCAUUGCGAAGGCAGCUUACUACGGGAUUAUUGACACUGAGGCUCGAAAGCGUGGGGAUCAAACAGGAUUAGAUACCCUGGUAGUCCACGCCCUAAACGAUGGAUACUCGACAUCAGCGAUACACUGUUGGUGUCUGAGCGAAAGCAUUAAGUAUCCCACCUGGAAGUACGACCGCAAGGUUGAAACUCAAAUGAGUAGAGNGNGAGAGNGCGAGACGACGACGAGGGAGGAGG